UAAGGAAUAUUGGUCAAUGGACGCAAGUCUGAACCAGCCAUGCCGCGUGGAGGAUGAAGGUCCUCUGGAUUGUAAACUUCUUUUAUCUGGGACGAAAAAGGUUCUUUCUAGAACAACUGACGGUACCAGAUGAAUAAGCACCGGCUAACUCCGUGCCAGCAGCCGCGGUAAUACGGAGGGUGCAAGCGUUAUCCGGAUUCACUGGGUUUAAAGGGUGCGUAGGCGGGUAUGUAAGUCAGUGGUGAAAUCCCCGAGCUUAACUCGGGAACUGCCAUUGAUACUAUAUAUCUUGAAUGUUCUGGAGGUAUGCGGAAUAUGUCAUGUAGCGGUGAAAUGCUUAGAGAUGACAUAGAACACCUAUUGCGAAGGCAGCAUACUACGGAAAUAUUGACGCUGAGGCACGAAAGUGUGGGGAUCAAACAGG
This 424-nucleotide ribosomal RNA is filed under the name uncultured Filimonas sp. Its description in RNAcentral is "bacterial SSU rRNA". It matches the Rfam family "Bacterial small subunit ribosomal RNA", at positions 355 to 776 of the family's 1533-position model. The record is from RNAcentral. Lineage: Bacteria; Pseudomonadati; Bacteroidota; Chitinophagia; Chitinophagales; Chitinophagaceae.